CGGUGAGGCCUUCGGACUGGCCCAGGGAGGUCGGCAACGACCACCCAGGGCCGGAAAGUUGGUCAAACCCGGUCAUUUAGAGGAAGUAAAAGUCGUAACAAGGUCUCCGUAGGUGAACCUGCGGAGGGAUCAUU
Molecule: ribosomal RNA, 134 nt
Filed under: Cladosporium colocasiae
Lineage: Eukaryota; Fungi; Ascomycota; Dothideomycetes; Cladosporiales; Cladosporiaceae
Also listed under: 2 other names
Description: partial 18S ribosomal RNA
Rfam family: Eukaryotic small subunit ribosomal RNA
Source: RNAcentral